GACGAACGCUGGCGGCGUGCUUAACACAUGCCAGUCGAACGGAAAGGCCCUGCUUUUGUGGGGUGCUCGAGUGGCGAACGGGUGAGUAACACGUGAGUAACCUGCCCUUGACUUUGGGAUAACUUCAGGAAACUGGGGCUAAUACCGGAUAGGAGCUCCUGCUGCAUGGUGGGGGUUGGAAAGUUUCGGCGGUUGGGGAUGGACUCGCGGCUUAUCAGCUUGUUGGUGGGGUAGUGGCUUACCAAGGCUUUGACGGGUAGCCGGCCUGAGAGGGUGACCGGCCACAUUGGGACUGAGAUACGGCCCAGACGGCAACGGGAGGCAGCAGUGGGGAAUAGUGCCAAAUGGGCGGAAGCCUGAUGCAGCAACGCCGCGUGCGGGAGGACGGCCUUCGGGUUGUAAACCGCUUUCGCCUGUGACGAAGCGUGAGUGACGGUAAUGGGUAAAGAAGCACCGGCUAACUACGUG
RNAcentral lists this ribosomal RNA (468 nucleotides) under uncultured bacterium. Its description in RNAcentral is "partial 16S ribosomal RNA". It matches the Rfam family "Bacterial small subunit ribosomal RNA", at positions 28 to 507 of the family's 1533-position model. The record is from RNAcentral.